Acanthosepion pharaonis is the source of this 103-nucleotide non-coding RNA. NCBI's taxonomy places the organism in Eukaryota, Metazoa, Mollusca, Cephalopoda, Sepiida, Sepiidae. The record is from the annotation of a GenBank genome assembly.
UCAUGUUGAAACACUGAUUCCAGUACAAUCACCAAAGUUAAGCAAUGUCAAGCCUGGUCAGUACCUAGAUGAGUUACCAUUUGGGAAUACCAGGUGUUGUAAG